RNAcentral lists this ribosomal RNA (1147 nucleotides) under marine bacterium 3ORI7. RNAcentral describes it as "bacterial SSU rRNA". It matches the Rfam family "Bacterial small subunit ribosomal RNA", at positions 34 to 1147 of the family's 1533-position model. The record is from RNAcentral.
UAUUUGCGGCGGCCUACACAUGCAGUCGAGCGGAACGAGUUAUCUGAACCUUCGGGGAACGAUAACGGCGUCGAGCGGCGGACGGGUGAGUAAUGCCUAGGAAAUUGCCCUGAUGUGGGGGAUAACCAUUGGAAACGAUGGCUAAUACCGCAUGAUGCCUACGGGCCAAAGAGGGGGACCUUCGGGCCUCUCGCGUCAGGAUAUGCCUAGGUGGGAUUAGCUAGUUGGUGAGGUAAGGGCUCACCAAGGCGACGAUCCCUAGCUGGUCUGAGAGGAUGAUCAGCCACACUGGAACUGAGACACGGUCCAGACUCCUACGGGAGGCAGCAGUGGGGAAUAUUGCACAAUGGGCGCAAGCCUGAUGCAGCCAUGCCGCGUGUAUGAAGAAGGCCUUCGGGUUGUAAAGUACUUUCAGUCGUGAGGAAGGCGGCGUCGUUAAUAGCGGCGUUGUUUGACGUUAGCGACAGAAGAAGCACCGGCUAACUCCGUGCCAGCAGCCGCGGUAAUACGGAGGGUGCGAGCGUUAAUCGGAAUUACUGGGCGUAAAGCGCAUGCAGGUGGUUUGUUAAGUCAGAUGUGAAAGCCCGGGGCUCAACCUCGGAAUUGCAUUUGAAACUGGCAGACUAGAGUACUGUAGAGGGGGGUAGAAUUUCAGGUGUAGCGGUGAAAUGCGUAGAGAUCUGAAGGAAUACCGGUGGCGAAGGCGGCCCCCUGGACAGAUACUGACACUCAGAUGCGAAAGCGUGGGGAGCAAACAGGAUUAGAUACCCUGGUAGUCCACGCCGUAAACGAUGUCUACUUGGAGGUUGUGGCCUUUGAGCCGUGGCUUUCGGAGCUAACGCGUUAAGUAGACCGCCUGGUGAGUACGGUCGCAGAUUAAAACUCACAUGAAUUGAUGGGGGCUCGCACAAGCGGUGGAGCAUGUGCUGUAAUUUCCGAUGCAACGCGAAGAACCUGUUAUCGUACUUCUUGACAUCAAGAGGAACUUUUCAGAGAUGGACUUGUUGACUUUCGGUACUUCUGAGACAGUGCCUGCCAUUGUAUGUCGUCAGCUCGCGUGUGAAUGUUGGAUUCAGUUCCUGCAACGGGCGUAUCCGUCUAUCCUUGGUUGGCCAGUCGAGUUAAUGGUCCGGUAAACUCCAACGUA